GGGUUUGUUCUUUAAAAGUGCUUGUGGAUUUUUGCAUCCUCAAGUGCCUGACUUUCAUAUUCUGUGAUCACUGCAGCAUAUUUUCUUGCACAUAGCUUGAACAUGUUUAACAUGUUCUAUUUUCUUCAUUCUUCUAAUGUUUUUAAAAUUCUCUAUUAACUAAGUUGGUUUAUCAAAUCUUCAAAAUCUGGAAUUAUAUUGUUUUUCCAUAAGCAUGCAUCAUAUACAUAACCUUCAUCAGUUUGUACUUUUAUUUCCUUUUAGUUUAUGAUGUGA
RNAcentral lists this unclassified non-coding RNA (276 nucleotides) under Hevea brasiliensis (rubber tree). Lineage: Eukaryota; Viridiplantae; Streptophyta; Magnoliopsida; Malpighiales; Euphorbiaceae. The record is from RNAcentral.